Molecule: small RNA, 81 nt
Filed under: Epilithonimonas hungarica
Lineage: Bacteria; Pseudomonadati; Bacteroidota; Flavobacteriia; Flavobacteriales; Weeksellaceae
Description: Chryseobacterium hungaricum Flavo-1 RNA
Source: RNAcentral
GUUGCGACCCGACUUGAGCGGAAAUCCUUUUUACGCAACGAAGUGGAGUGAAAAGAUUGGGAGCGGAAGGCGGAAAAGUCG